AUUCAAAUUAAUCAAAGGUCUAAGUUUGCAAUACAUAUGAAUUUCAUUGCCCGAUUAAAAUUUAGAAAUUAAUUGAAUAAUAUUAAUAAUGAAAAACAAAAAAAAAAAUCUCCCAUUUGUUGAUGGCAGACAGCGAAUUUAAGGGGAUGGUUGAAAGAGAAGAAUUUGGCUCCCAUCUCUUCAAGAGCCACGUGGUGUGACAUUAUUGGAAGAAAAAAAGAAACGGUUUUGGGAACUGGUGGUCAUCCAAACAAGGCCUUAGAAAAGGGCCUUACAUGCUGAUUGAAGGGGGGACAGUUGGUAACGUUAAAAAAAAAGAAAAAAAAAAAGAGAUUCAAAAUCCCUUAUGAAUC
This 353-nucleotide long non-coding RNA is filed under the name Lathyrus oleraceus (garden pea). RNAcentral's name for it is "Pisum sativum (pea) long non-coding RNA (PSAT_LNC021256)". The record is from RNAcentral. Lineage: Eukaryota; Viridiplantae; Streptophyta; Magnoliopsida; Fabales; Fabaceae.